GGGUUGUGAGGUUAAGCGACUAAGCGUACACGGUGGAUGCCCUGGCAGUCAGAGGCGAURRACUACGUACUAMWCUGACGAURMKCAGACGGUAMGKAGCURURMAUCGWUCGAUGCKSMGAYKUACKANNGCUGUACAUCGAUCGAUGYCKMCASACGUACGUAGCUGUACMAUCGAUCGAUGCUCAGACGUACGUAGCUGUACAUCGAUCGAUGCUCAGACGUACGUAGCUGUACAUCGAUCGAUGCUCAGACGUACGUAGCUGUACAUCGAUCGAUGCUCGAAUCAGUGUGUGUGUUAGUGGAAGCGUCUGGAAAGGCGCGCGAUACAGGGUGACAGCCCCGUACACAAAAAUGCACAUGCUGUGAGCUCGAUGAGUAGGGCGGGACACGUGGUAUCCUGUCUGAAUAUGGGGGGACCAUCCUCCAAGGCUAAAUACUCCUGACUGACCGAUAGUGAACCAGUACCGUGAGGGAAAGGCGNAAAAGAACCCCGGCGAGGGGAGUGNAAAAAGAACCUGAAACCGUGUACGUACAAGCAGUGGGAGCCUCUUUUAUGGGGUGACUGCGUACCUUUUGUAUAAUGGGUCAGCGACUUAUAUUCUGUAGCAAGGUUAACCGAAUAGGGGAGCCGAAGGGAAACCGAGUCUUAACCGGGCGUUAAGUUGCAGGGUAUAGACCCGAAACCCGGUGAUCUAGCCAUGGGCAGGUUGAAGGUUGGGUAACACUAACUGGAGGACCGAACCGACUAAUGUUGAAAAAUUAGCGGAUGACUUGUGGCUGGGGGUGAAAGGCCAAUCAAACCGGGAGAUAGCUGGUUCUCCCCGAAAGCUAUUUAGGUAGCGCCUCGUGAAUUCAUCUCCGGGGGUAGAGCACUGUUUCGGCAAGGGGGUCAUCCCGACUUACCAACCCGAUGCAAACUGCGAAUACCGGAGAAUGUUAUCACGGGAGACACACGGCGGGUGCUAACGUCCGUCGUGAAGAGGGAAACAACCCAGACCGCCAGCUAAGGUCCCAAAGUCAUGGUUAAGUGGGAAACGAUGUGGGAAGGCCCAGACAGCCAGGAUGUUGGCUUAGAAGCAGCCAUCAUUUAAAGAAAGCGUAAUAGCUCACUGGUCGAGUCGGCCUGCGCGGAAGAUGUAACGGGGCUAAACCAUGCACCGAAGCUGCGGCAGCGACACUGUGUGUUGUUGGGGUAGGGGAGCGUUCUGUAAGCCUGGUUACGGNNNNNNNNNNNNNNNNNNNNNNNNNNNNNAGUGCGAAUGCUGACAUAAGUAACGAUAAAGCGGGUGAAAAGCCCGCUCGCCGGAAGACCAAGGGUUCCUGUCCAACGUUAAUCGGGGCAGGGUGAGUCGACCCCUAAGGCGAGGCCGAAAGGCGUAGUCGAUGGGAAACAGGUUAAUAUUCCUGUACUUGGUGUUACUGCGAAGGGGGGACGGAGAAGGCUAUGUUGGCCGGGCGACGGUUGUCCCGGUUUAAGCGUGUAGGCUGGUUUUCCAGGCAAAUCCGGAAAAUCAAGGCUGAGGCGUGAUGACGAGGCACUACGGUGCUGAAGCAACAAAUGCCCUGCUUCCAGGAAAAGCCUCUAAGCAUCAGGUAACAUCAAAUCGUACCCCAAACCGACACAGGUGGUCAGGUAGAGAAUACCAAGGCGCUUGAGAGAACUCGGGUGAAGGAACUAGGCAAAAUGGUGCCGUAACUUCGGGAGAAGGCACGCUGAUAUGUAGGUGAAGUCCCUCGCGGAUGGAGCUGAAAUCAGUCGAAGAUACCAGCUGGCUGCAACUGUUUAUUAAAAACACAGCACUGUGCAAACACGAAAGUGGACGUAUACGGUGUGACGCCUGCCCGGUGCCGGAAGGUUAAUUGAUGGGGUCAGCGCAAGCGAAGCUCUUGAUCGAAGCCCCGGUAAACGGCGGCCGUAACUAUAACGGUCCUAAGGUAGCGAAAUUCCUUGUCGGGUAAGUUCCGACCUGCACGAAUGGCGUAAUGAUGGCCAGGCUGUCUCCACCCGAGACUCAGUGAAAUUGAACUCGCUGUGAAGAUGCAGUGUACCCGCGGCAAGACGGAAAGACCCCGUGAACCUUUACUAUAGCUUGACACUGAACAUUGAGCCUUGAUGUGUAGGAUAGGUGGGAGGCUUUGAAGUGUGGACGCCAGUCUGCAUGGAGCCGACCUUGAAAUACCACCCUUUAAUGUUUGAUGUUCUAACGUGGACCCGUGAUCCGGGUUGCGGACAGUGUCUGGUGGGUAGUUUGACUGGGGCGGUCUCCUCCUAAAGAGUAACGGAGGAGCACGAAGGUUGGCUAAUCCUGGUCGGACAUCAGGAGGUUAGUGCAAUGGCAUAAGCCAGCUUGACUGCGAGCGUGACGGCGCGAGCAGGUGCGAAAGCAGGUCAUAGUGAUCCGGUGGUUCUGAAUGGAAGGGCCAUCGCUCAACGGAUAAAAGGUACUCCGGGGAUAACAGGCUGAUACCGCCCAAGAGUUCAUAUCGACGGCGGUGUUUGGCACCUCGAUGUCGGCUCAUCACAUCCUGGGGCUGAAGUAGGUCCCAAGGGUAUGGCUGUUCGCCAUUUAAAGUGGUACGCGAGCUGGGUUUAGAACGUCGUGAGACAGUUCGGUCCCUAUCUGCCGUGGGCGCUGGAGAACUGAGGGGGGCUGCUCCUAGUACGAGAGGACCGGAGUGGACGCAUCACUGGUGUUCGGGUUGUCAUGCCAAUGGCACUGCCCGGUAGCUAAAUGCGGAAGAGAUAAGUGCUGAAAGCAUCUAAGCACGAAACUUGCCCCGAGAUGAGUUCUCCCUGACCCUUUAAGGGUCCUGAAGGAACGUUGAAGACGACGACGUUGAUAGGCCGGGUGUGUAAGCGCAGCGAUGCGUUGAGCUAACCGGUACUAAUGAACCGUGAGGCUUAACCUUACAACGCCGAAGGUGUUU
This 2931-nucleotide ribosomal RNA is filed under the name Escherichia coli O157:H7. Its description in RNAcentral is "23S ribosomal RNA". It matches the Rfam family "Bacterial large subunit ribosomal RNA". The record is from RNAcentral. Lineage: Bacteria; Pseudomonadati; Pseudomonadota; Gammaproteobacteria; Enterobacterales; Enterobacteriaceae.